RNAcentral lists this unclassified non-coding RNA (377 nucleotides) under uncultured Actinomycetes bacterium. RNAcentral describes it as "uncultured actinobacterium contains 16S-23S intergenic spacer region". Lineage: Bacteria; Bacillati; Actinomycetota; Actinomycetes. The record is from RNAcentral.
UCCGAGUUGACCCCGGCAGUCUCCUAUGAGUCCCCGCCAUAACGCGCUGGCAACAUAGAACGAGGGUUGCGCUCGUUGCGGGACUUAACCCAACAUCUCACGACACGAGCUGACGACAACCAUGCACCACCUGUAUACCGCCCUUGCGGACCCCCUAUCUCUAGGGGAUUUCUCCAUAUGUCAAACCCAGGUAAGGUUCUUCGCGUUGCAUCGAAUUAAUCCACAUGCUCCGCCGCUUGUGCGGGCCCCCGUCAAUUCCUUUGAGUUUUAGCCUUGCGGCCGUACUCCCCAGGCGGGGCGCUUAAUGCGUUAGCUACGGCACGGAUCCCGUGGAAGGAAACCCACACCUAGCGCCCACCGUUUACGGCGUGGACUAC